GGGGGCCCGCAAGCGGUGGAGCAUGUGGUUUAAUUCGAUGCAACGCGAAGAACCUUACCUACUCUUGACAUCCAGAGAACUUAGCAGAGAUGCUUUGGUGCCUUCGGGAACUCUGAGACAGGUGCUGCAUGGCUGUCGUCAGCUCGUGUUGUGAAAUGUUGGGUUAAGUCCCGCAACGAGCGCAACCCUUAUCCUUUGUUGCCAUCGGUUCGGCCGGGAACUCAAAGGAGACUGCCAGUGAUAAACUGGAGGAAGGUGGGGAUGACGUCAAGUCAUCAUGGCCCUUACGAGUAGGGCUACACACGCGCUACAAUGGCGUAUACAAAGAGAAGCGACCUCGCGAGAGCAAGCGGACCUCAUAAAGUACGUCGUAGUCCGGAUUGGAGUCUGCAACUCGACUCCAUGAAGUCGGAAUCGCUAGUAAUCGUAGAUCAGAAUGCUACGGUGAAUACGUUCCCCGGGGCCUUGUACACACC
Molecule: ribosomal RNA, 476 nt
Filed under: uncultured bacterium
Lineage: Bacteria
Description: bacterial SSU rRNA
Rfam family: Bacterial small subunit ribosomal RNA
Source: RNAcentral